GCCGAGUGUGGUCACCCAAAGCAAUUUGCCUCUGCGCUUGGCUCUCAGUCAGCCCUAGGAGGAGAGGUUUGGCAGGGGUGGUCCUUGGCAAGGUCCUUCAGGGAGCUGCAGGGGACCCUGAGUCUGGUUAGCCAAUCACAUGCCUCCCAGCUGCUGGACCUGACAGAGAUGGGGUUUCGCCAUGUUGCCCAGGAGGGCCUCAACUCCUGGGCUCAAGUGAUCUGCUCCCCACACACCACCGCCUCGGCCUCCCAAAGUGCUGGGAUGACAGGAGCCUCUCUUUCCACCAGCGGAGGAGGAGACAGAUGCCUUCCAGCUGCUGGCUGGUCCCCAGGACCCCACUGCCACUGAGAGCUGACGAGUGGUCGAGUGCACGCAAGUAUGUGCAGCUUGGAGAGGUGCAGUGACGUGCCUGAGGUCUACGGCCCCAAAUGGCAGAUGAGGGGCUCAAUUCCAGGCUUGUCUGUGGGGUGCCCUCCCUGGACACAAGGACUGCCAACCCUGUGUGAAUGUGAGCCUCAUGAAGGAGACAGGUGAGAAGCCUGAGUGCUGGUGGCUGUAGGCUGCUAAACUGUAAAUACAGAUAAUGUCCAAAGCACUGGUGGCUGUGAGCUCCUCAACUGUAAAUACAAAUAACGUCCAAA
This 644-nucleotide long non-coding RNA is filed under the name Homo sapiens (human). RNAcentral's name for it is "HSALNT0361067". Lineage: Eukaryota; Metazoa; Chordata; Mammalia; Primates; Hominidae. The record is from RNAcentral.